CAGCUUCAAACCUGUUAGGAAUGUUAAGAGAAUUUCUGGUCGUCGGCUUCUUGACAUGGCGAGUCGAUGGCGUUUUAUUAACGCGUAAUCAGUGCUCUGAGGAACUAUCCACAGUCGACAGCAUCCAAGGAAAUGUUG
Molecule: long non-coding RNA, 138 nt
Organism: Neodiprion fabricii
Lineage: Eukaryota; Metazoa; Arthropoda; Insecta; Hymenoptera; Diprionidae
Exons: 3
Source: RefSeq, a predicted model, not a curated record